CAAAAAAUCAAUUCUCAAAAUCCCUACCAAACGGGCCCUAAGAAAAAAAUUGAGCUUACUCGGCUCGGCUCAAUAAGGUUCAAGCCGAAAGCUCGGAUUGAGCAUUGAUUUCUUAGCUGAGCAAAAUUUCUGCUCGACUUGGACUCGAAAAAAAGUUUGGACCAUUUUACUCGAGUUAAGCUUGAGCCUUGAAUUUCAACUCGUGAGCUAGUUCGACUUGACUCGUCGACACUGAAGGGUCUAGAAGGGCUGAAUUUUUGUACUAUUUAGAGAAAGAAUAACAUGCGAUUUGAUAAUGCAAAAUCGUAAUUUUAUUUCACCUAAUAUUUUUAUCUGCAAUAUUUCCGGGAUCAUAUUUGGGUUCUUUUACAGUAGCCCAACAGAAUUUAGCUAGAGAAGAUAAACAAUUGCCUUUUUUUUUUUUUUUUAACCGUUUAUGUAAACACGUGGUUAAAUUAAUAUGGGAUUCGUGAGUGAGCAGAACGAUGAGUUCAUUGAUAAUUGGGUUCUGAAGUUUCUUAUUUAUUUCAUCAAGGGAUUGUUAAGAAUUAUUUUGGAUGUUCUGAAAGAUAUUUAAGGGACUUGUUAAAAUCCGGGGUACUUUCUUGGCCUAAACUAUUUUAAGGGUAAAAUUGACGAGUUGAGUAUGUUUUCACCAACUUAAGUUCUAAAUAUAACUUGACUUGGAGCAGGGAUUUGUUUUUGGAGUAAAUUUCUGUCCCUUUUUUGUGUUUCUUCUCCGAGUCAGUAUUUGUAGAACACUUUAAUUGUAGCUUCUGCAUUGCAUUCCACACUGCAACAUGCUGAACUUGUCUAAUUAUUGUAAGGAUUUUUUAAUCAAUCGUGGGCUUAUGUGUGAAUUGUUGUGCAUUAAAUUAAAGGUUAUCGUAUUCGAUUGAACCCAUUUAACGUGAUCUAAUAAGACUUCGAUUUUGGACCAUUAUGCAUCCAAUUAAAGUAUGAGUUCUAUACGUGUAGAGACCGGGCCCAGACUCCUAAU
RNAcentral lists this long non-coding RNA (1000 nucleotides) under Olea europaea subsp. europaea. The record is from RNAcentral. Lineage: Eukaryota; Viridiplantae; Streptophyta; Magnoliopsida; Lamiales; Oleaceae.